CGUAGUUCAGUUGGUUAGAGCGUCAGAUUGUGGUUCUGAAUGUCGUGGGUUCGAAUCCCAUCG
Molecule: transfer RNA, 63 nt
Filed under: human gut metagenome
Also listed under: 1 other name
Rfam family: tRNA
About the family: Transfer RNA (tRNA) molecules are approximately 80 nucleotides in length. Their secondary structure includes four short double-helical elements and three loops (D, anti-codon, and T loops).
Source: RNAcentral